Molecule: ribosomal RNA, 464 nt
Filed under: uncultured bacterium
Lineage: Bacteria
Description: partial 16S ribosomal RNA
Rfam family: Bacterial small subunit ribosomal RNA
Source: RNAcentral
GACGAACGCUGGCGGCGUGCUUAACACAUGCAAGUCGAACGGAAAGGCCCCUUUGGGGGUACUCGAGUGGCGAACGGGUGAGUAACACGUGAGUAACCUGCCCUUGACUUCGGGAUAACUUCAGGAAACUGGGGCUAAUACCGGAUAGGAAUCCUUGCUGCAUGGUGGGGGUUGGAAAGCUUCGGCGGUUUUGGAUGGACUCGCGGCUUAUCAGCUUGUUGGUGGGGUAGUGGCUUACCAAGGCUUUGACGGGUAGCCGGCCUGAGAGGGCGACCGGCCACAUUGGGACUGAGAUCCGGCCAAGACUCCUACGGGAGGAAGCAGUGGGGAAUAUUGAACAAUGGGCGGAAGCCUGAUGAAGAAACGCCGCGUGCGGGAUGACGGCCUUCGGGUUGUAACCCGUUUUAAGCAGGGGCGAAGCUUGUGGUGACGGUACCUGAAGAAGAAGAACCGGCUAACUACGU